RNAcentral lists this ribosomal RNA (253 nucleotides) under uncultured bacterium. RNAcentral's name for it is "partial 16S ribosomal RNA". It matches the Rfam family "Bacterial small subunit ribosomal RNA", at positions 524 to 776 of the family's 1533-position model. The record is from RNAcentral.
UACAGAGGGGGCAAGCGUUGUUCGGAAUUACUGGGCGUAAAGGGCGCGUAGGCGGCCUUCUAAGUCGAACGUGAAAUCCCUGGGCUCAACCCAGGAACUGCGUCCGAUACUGGAAGGCUUGAAUCCGGGAGAGGGAUGCGGAAUUCCAAGUGUAGCGGUGAAAUGCGUAGAUAUCUGGAGGAACACCGAUGGCGAAGGCGGCAUCCUGGACCGGUAUUGACGCUGAGGCGCGAAAGCCAGGGGAGCAAACGGG